Molecule: unclassified non-coding RNA, 358 nt
Filed under: Hevea brasiliensis (rubber tree)
Lineage: Eukaryota; Viridiplantae; Streptophyta; Magnoliopsida; Malpighiales; Euphorbiaceae
Source: RNAcentral
GGAAAUAUUUGAUGCAUUUACAAUAUAACAGAUACAGUAAUCAUCUUUCCUGACGUACAAACUUCUUCAGUUUUCCUAUAUGUCUUACGUAAAAAGUCUAAAAAUGAGAUAAAUAGAAGGAGAAAGUUAUACUGCAAGAAGAAGAGCAAAAUAGGCGGCCAAUAGAGAUUUGGCCUGAUCCUCGACUGCAUUGUCGAUCAACUGAACCUAAAAGCAAUGUAGUGGCUUCUCUUUGAAUUAUUUCAAACUUGAGACAUUCACCCCCAAAAUACUUUUAAGUUCUCAGAUAGAGUUGACUGUGUCACUACUUUCGUUGUCACUGCUGCUGCUUGCACUGUCACUUCCACUUCCGCUCCCG